GACGAACGCUGGCGGCGUGCUUAACACAUGCAAGUCGAACGGAAAGGCCCUGCUUGCAGGGUACUCGAGUGGCGAACGGGUGAGUAACACGUGGGUGAUCUGCCCUGCACUUCGGGAUAAGCCUGGGAAACUGGGUCUAAUACCGGAUAGGAGCCAUUUUUAGUGUGAUGGUUGGAAAGUUUUUUCGGUGUAGGAUGAGCUCGCGGCCUAUCAGCUUGUUGGUGGGGUAAUGGCCUACCAAGGCGGCGACGGGUAGCCGGCCUGGGAGGGUGGACGGCCACAAUGGGGACGAGAUACGGCCCAGACCCCCACGGGGAGCAGGAGUGGGGAAUAUUGGACAAGGGGGGGGAGCCCGAUGCAGCGAAGGCGGGGGGGGGAUGAAGGCCUUCGGGUUGGAAACUCGCUUCGCUAGGGAAGAAGCUGUUUGUGACGGUACCUAGAUAAGAAGCACCGGCUAACUACGUG
RNAcentral lists this ribosomal RNA (465 nucleotides) under uncultured bacterium. RNAcentral describes it as "partial 16S ribosomal RNA". It matches the Rfam family "Bacterial small subunit ribosomal RNA", at positions 28 to 507 of the family's 1533-position model. The record is from RNAcentral.